UCUCAAAGCUUUUUACCCUUUAGUUGGCUAAUGACAGUAAAAGUUGAAGAUGAGGUUUCUAGCACUGGCUUUAGUCUUGAUGAUGGUGAACUCUUGUUUGGCCACAAAUAGGAAAACUUUGACGGUUGAAAUGCAUGAGCAAGAGCAGCAGCAGCUAAUCGAUCAGGACAUAAGCAAUCCAAACGAUAAUAAUGAUCACCACACCAUGCCUAGACAAGAUUCCUCUCCUUAUAAGAAUGACAAUGGAAAUAGCGGUGUAGCUAAACCAUAUGACAAGGGAAAUAGCGGUCAUCCUAAUUCAAUUGAAAAUGGAAGUAGCGGUCCAGCUAGACCUGGAAAUUAGUCUCGCUAAACCAACGGUUCCAGUGCAUAAGUGGUAUAAAUAACCAUAUAUAACUUUGUUUGGAAUAUGUUUAGUUAUUGCUCAGUUUUACUCAUGCAUAAUUAAUGGAAGUUCUUUGUUUUGUAA
Long non-coding RNA from Quercus robur (English oak), 469 nucleotides. RefSeq lists it as uncharacterized. NCBI's taxonomy places the organism in Eukaryota, Viridiplantae, Streptophyta, Magnoliopsida, Fagales, Fagaceae. The transcript has 2 exons. The record is from RefSeq and is a predicted model, not a curated record.